AGCAGCCGCGGUAAUUCCAGCUCCAAUAGCGUAUAUUAAAGUUGUUGCAGUUAAAAAGCUCGUAGUUGAACUUCAGGCCUGUCCAGAUGGUCCGCCUUAAUUGGUGUGUACUGUCCUUGGGUGGGUCCUACCUUCUGGCGAAGCAGCAUGGCCUUAAUUGGUUGUGUUGGGGAACCAGGACUUUUACUGUGAAAAAAUUAGAGUGUUCAAAGCAGGCAUAUAUGCUCGAAUACAUUAGCAUGGAAUAAUGGAAUAGGACGAUGGUUCUAUUUUGUUGGUUCUAGGACCGUUGUAAUGAUUAAUAGGGAUAGUUGGGGGCAUUAGUAUUCAAUUGUCAGAGGUGAAAUUCUUGGAUUUAUUGAAGACUAACUACUGCGAAAGCAUUUGCCAAGGAUGUUUUCAUUAAUCAAGAACGAAAGUUAGGGGAUCGAAGACGAUCAGAUACCGUCGUAGUCUUAACCAUAAACUAUGCCGACUAGGAAUCGGGCGAUGUUGACAAAAUGACUCGCUCGGCACCUCAUG
RNAcentral lists this ribosomal RNA (522 nucleotides) under uncultured Paraglomeraceae. RNAcentral describes it as "SSU rRNA". It matches the Rfam family "Eukaryotic small subunit ribosomal RNA", at positions 569 to 1092 of the family's 1831-position model. The record is from RNAcentral. Lineage: Eukaryota; Fungi; Glomeromycota; Glomeromycetes; Paraglomerales.